CGUAGGUGACCUGCGGAGGAUCAUUGUCGAAACCUGCAUAGCAGAACGACUCGUGAACAAGUAAGACAACACUAGGGUGACCUCUGGGGCCUCCGGGCGCCAUUGCGAACCUAAUGGCUAAGCCGUGUCAUGUCAGGCUAGGCUUCGGCCUGUUUCACAUGCACUGCUAAGUCUAACAACCAACCCCGGCGCAAGACGCGCCAAGGAAAACAUAAAAUAAAAGAGAAGACGCGUCUGACCGGUCCCGGCCUCGGGAUCCCGGAAAGAAUGCCGUCCUCCUUUUUUAAAAAAACGACUCUCGGCAACGGAUAUCUCGGCUCUCGCAUCGAUGAAGAACGCAGCGAAAUGCGAUACUUGGUGUGAAUUGCAGAAUCCCGCGAACCAUCGAGUUUUUGAACGCAAGUUGCGCCCAAAGCCUUUCGGCCGAGGGCACGUCUGCCUGGGUGUCACGCAGCAUCGCUCCCAACCCAUUGGGGUGCGGAAUAUGGCCUCCCGUGCGAUUCUCUCCCGCGGUUGGCCUAAAAGAAUGGUCCUCGGCUGCAAAUGCCGCGACAAUCGGUGGUUGCAAGGCCCUCGGACACAGUCGCGCGCGCACGUAUGCCUUUGGAUAACGAGACCCCUCUGCGUCCGCGUCCUUCGCGGCACGCUCACAUCGCGACCCCAGGUCAGGCGGGAUUACCCGCUGAGUUUAAGCUUUA
This 698-nucleotide ribosomal RNA is filed under the name Croton tiglium. RNAcentral's name for it is "eukaryotic LSU rRNA". The stretch from base 294 to 449 matches the Rfam family "5.8S ribosomal RNA". The record is from RNAcentral. Lineage: Eukaryota; Viridiplantae; Streptophyta; Magnoliopsida; Malpighiales; Euphorbiaceae.